This 378-nucleotide long non-coding RNA is filed under the name Citrus maxima (pomelo). RNAcentral's name for it is "long non-coding RNA (CMAX_LNC001777)". The record is from RNAcentral. Lineage: Eukaryota; Viridiplantae; Streptophyta; Magnoliopsida; Sapindales; Rutaceae.
UGUUGUUGCGAGCCCAAUUCUGGUAACCCACAGAAGCGUUGGGAGGGAUAGUCCAUCCUAGAGCACCUCCAACAACAUGAGUCGCUGGCUGUCUUGUGGGAGCUGGUGUUGGUGCUGAUCUCGGUGUUGAUGUUGGUGUUGGUGCUGGUGCUGGUGCUGGCGUAGGUGUUGUUGCUGAUUCUGGUGCUGGUGCUGGUGCCGGUGUCGGUGUCCGUGCUGGUGCAGGAACCGGAGAGGGAGUACUACCGCUGGGCUGAGGGGCCGGAGAAGAAGGUUGAGGAGCAGGAGAAGAUCCCCUGGCGCUAACGUUGAUGGCUAAUUUCUGACCGCCGAGGCAGUGGCCUGGAAAUGAGCAAAUGAAGUAGUAUGGCCCAGAAG